RNAcentral lists this ribosomal RNA (253 nucleotides) under uncultured bacterium. Its description in RNAcentral is "partial 16S ribosomal RNA". It matches the Rfam family "Bacterial small subunit ribosomal RNA", at positions 524 to 776 of the family's 1533-position model. The record is from RNAcentral.
UACGUAGGGGGCAAGCGUUGUCCGGAUUUAUUGGGCGUAAAGAGCGUGUAGGCGGCCAUGUAGGUCCGUUGUGAAAACUCGAGGCUCAACCUCGAGACGUCGGCGGAAACCAUCUGGCUAGAGUCCGGAAGAGGAGAGUGGAAUUCCUGGUGUAGCGGUGAAAUGCGCAGAUAUCAGGAAGAACACCAAUGGCGAAGGCAGCUCUCUGGGACGGUACUGACGCUGAGACGCGAAAGCGUGGGGAGCGAACAGG